Long non-coding RNA from Coturnix japonica (Japanese quail), 1552 nucleotides. Lineage: Eukaryota; Metazoa; Chordata; Aves; Galliformes; Phasianidae. The record is from Ensembl.
CUCAAACUAAAUUGGUUUAAUUCCUUGUACCUGCUGUGUAUUUAGAUGAGAUCAACUAGACAGACCUUUCCCAUUGGUUAAAGGUCAAAAAUAGCCUAAAGACACGUUGUUUACAGCACAUCAUGUUGAGAAAUACACUUUUCAUAGAAAGCAUGACCAUAUUAUCAUUAGUGGUGAUAAAAAGCUUAAACAGCUCUGUGGAUAUAAUUACAGAGGAUUAUUUUUAAUCACAAAUCUAUUUCAAGGAAUAGUAGAAGAAAAAAAAUUCACCAGAGAAUAAUUUCAUUAUUAAUUUGUAAUCAUUAUUUCUGGAUUAUAGAAAACAUUGUUUUCCUUUCCAGAACUAGGAUACAUUUUGGAGUCUCCAACCAAUUCUGAGUAAGCAAGAGUCAUAUCUUUAUAACUAAUAUAACUAAUUAUAAAUAACUUUACUAUUGUCUGCUCCUAUGCAAAGUUAUGGUGCAGCACGAUGACUGAAAUGCUGUUUUGUGUUUAAUUAUUGUAAGAUGCAAGACGGAAACUAAUCCCUUUUUUUCAGCAUUUCAAAUUAUUUCUCUUGAAAAAUAUUUAAAUUUUUGCAAAAUUUUUAGAUUUUUUGUAAAUUACUUUUGUAAAUAUUUUGAAGUCUUUGACUUGUAGAACUGAAUAAGAAAUUAUUAGAUGCAUCUUUUCAGAGAGUAUAAAUAUAAGGCUUAUAUCUUACUUGAGAGCGGUUUAAAGGGCCCUACCAAAGCAAAUGAGAAUCAUCUUGACUCAUUCAGGCUGGAAAAUGGUGUUGGUUUUUACUUAGCUUCAAUGAUUCGUGUUGUCAUUUUCAAAACAAGAGAGUAAUAUUUUUAAUUUCAGAGCUCCUGUCCAUUGGCAGGUGACUACUUCAUCAAGCCGACUUUUCACUGGGAUAGAAGAACCAGAAAAUGAACCUGGCACUAGAAGCUUGCAUUCUUUCCUCAGCUAGGAAAGUGAUGGGUCUCUCCAGAUCAAGAUUCACCAAAGCAUAUACCAGACUUUUGAUGCUGGAUGUGAAGGCAGAGAAACAAUUUACUGUUGUGAAACAAAGAGCCUCUUCCUCAGGAGACGCAGACUGGUAAAGUAUGUCAUUAUUUUCCAAUCAUUCCCUCCAUCCCUUUUGUCAUCAGCCUCCUCCUGGACCAGUGUAUAACAGCAGAGAAUUUGUCCCUUAAUUCUAUAGGCACAGUGAGACUGUGGACUGAUGAUUUGACUUUCUGAGUGGUAGUCCUUUGAGUUUUCUUUUCUCUAAAGAAAUACAACAGAAGUACAGUAUGUAAAUAGUUUCACAGGAUUCAAAUGAGUGCAUUACUGAAUUAUUACACUAGAGAUUGAAAACAGAUACAUGUUACAGAGGAAAAGAAAAACCCAACAAAAUAUUCUGAUCACAGGACAGAUUAAUUUGCUACACUGGCUAAUGGGGAAGAAAAGUCCAGUGGUUUAUAACAAAGUGUAGGUUUGGGAGUUUUCCUCCUUUGUAACAUCUGGUACUGGGUGAUGUCAAUCACAGAAUAAAAGACUGAGUAGUCAAGAAAUGUAGUUUUUA